GGACCCGCACAAGCAGUGGAGUAUGUGGUUUAAUUCGACGCAACGCGAAGAACCUUACCAGGGUUUGACAUCCAACUAACGAAGCAGAGAUGCAUUAGGUGCCCUUCGGGGAAAGUUGAGACAGGUGGUGCAUGGUUGUCGUCAGCUCGUGUCGUGAGAUGUUGGGUUAAGUCCCGCAACGAGCGCAACCCUUAUUGUUAGUUGCUACGCAAGAGCACUCUAGCGAGACUGCCGUUGAUAAAACGGAGGAAGGUGGGGACGACGUCAAAUCAUCAUGCCCUUUAUAUCCUGGGCUACACACGUACUACAAUGGCGAAAACAGAGGGAAGCGAAAUAGCGAUAUGGAGCAAAACCCUAAAUAUCGUCUCAGUUCAGAUUGCAGGCUGCAACCCGCCUGCAUGAAGGUGGAAUUGCUAGUAAUCGCGGAUCAGCACGCCGCGGUGAAUACGUUCCCGGGUCUU
Molecule: ribosomal RNA, 461 nt
Filed under: uncultured bacterium
Lineage: Bacteria
Description: bacterial SSU rRNA
Rfam family: Bacterial small subunit ribosomal RNA
Source: RNAcentral